This 200-nucleotide ribosomal RNA is filed under the name uncultured bacterium. Its description in RNAcentral is "partial 16S ribosomal RNA". It matches the Rfam family "Bacterial small subunit ribosomal RNA", at positions 328 to 539 of the family's 1533-position model. The record is from RNAcentral.
ACGCUCGACACCUACGGGGGCAGCAGUGGGGAAUAUUGGGCAAUGGAGGCAACUCUGACCCAGCAACGCCGCGUGAGUGAUGAAGGUCUUCGGAUUGUAAAACUCUUUAAGUAGGGACGAAGAAAGUGACGGUACCUACAGAAUAAGCCUCGGCUAACUACGUGCCAGCAGCCGCGGUAAUCUGAGCGGGCUGGCAAGGC